UACUAGUUAAAGGUCAAGACCACUGC
This 26-nucleotide non-coding RNA is filed under the name Homo sapiens (human). Lineage: Eukaryota; Metazoa; Chordata; Mammalia; Primates; Hominidae. The record is from RNAcentral.